RNAcentral lists this unclassified non-coding RNA (154 nucleotides) under soil metagenome. RNAcentral describes it as "partial internal transcribed spacer 1". The record is from RNAcentral.
CAAGUGACCCCGGUCUAACCACCGGGAUGUUCAUAACCCUUGUUGUCCGACUCUGUUGCCUCCGGGGCGACCCUGCCUUCGGGCGGGGGCUCCGGGUGGACACUUCAAACUCUUGCGUAACUUUGCAAGUCUGAGUAAACUUAAUUAAUAAUUA